This is a long non-coding RNA of Bos taurus (domestic cattle), 5560 nucleotides long. The record is from Ensembl. NCBI's taxonomy places the organism in Eukaryota, Metazoa, Chordata, Mammalia, Artiodactyla, Bovidae.
CAGAGGAUACUCAUUAGGCCAAGUGUUUCCAACUGCACAUUGCAAAGUGAUGGAAAUGGACGCCUGAACACCCGAGUUCUGCACUCCUCCGGGUGUUCACCCUCAGCAGGCUCCUCAAAAAUGCAACUGUAGCGGAUAUAACCUCUCAUUUAGGGGUUGUUAUAAACCUUUCUCCAGUCUCAGGCCACAGAUGGUCUACUGAGUUCCACCGAGAAGAAAAAUUUCUGCAGCGCUUGCUCUCCUGGCCCUCAGGUGAAUGAACAUGGUCCAGUAGGCUCACACCACCCUGCUGACCUUGGGCCUUCAUUGCGAGCCACGUGACGCAUGUUUAGGGUGCCUAAGACAUGUAAUGCCUCAGCUUGGGCUAAGGCGGGAGCCUCUCUGCAGGUCUCCAGUGUGCUGCCCAGGAAUGCUCAUCACCAUCUCAGAAUCCAAAGUGGACAUAUUUAUAGUGUCUCCUGACUUUGAAAGGAGUUAAGAGCAGAGAGCAGAAAAUAGUUGGUCUGAAUGGGAAAUGAAAAUCAAAUAUUCUCUUAUUCUAAAGGGCACUGUGAACAAGAAUUAAUAAUGUAAGAUGCAAGACAUGCUAUAUAGCACUCUGAAAAAAUAUGAUGCCUACGUAUUUAGUUUAAGGCAAAAUGGCCUCGAACCCAGCCCCGGAGAGACAGCAGUGAACAGAACAGCAACCCCAGCCCCAGGGAGUUUACCUUCUCUGAAGGGAGACAGGAAAUAACAGAUAAGGUAAGUGCUACUGAAAAAAAUCAAUGGAGAGAGAGAGGAGAAUGUCUGGGGCACAAUUUUAAGUACAUUGACUAGGGAAGACGAUGCUAAGAAAGAAUGGCUUUCCUAAAUAUUAGUUGUUAUUAUUAUCAUAAUCUAUUAUUCUACAUUCACUUACCCCAUUUGCAAGUCUUUGUGAGUAGAUGGACGAAUUUGACACGGUUGGUGGCAAACAGAAGAUUAUCAGACACACACCGUCACCACAACCACGCUCAUCCCACUUCUCUGCAAAUAAUUUAAUAUCCUAGAAUUGUUCUCUGGCCCCCUUGUGAUUAAACACCUGUUUUAUGUGCAAUUUUAUAAUACAUCUGGUGUCAAGGUUAUAAUAAUGUUAUGAUAUAAACUUGAUAUGAUAUAUGAUAUGAACUUGUCAAAAUAAAUGUAUAGAGUAUAUCUGUCUCUUUUUUAAAAAAAAUGCUCUCUGCCAUGUGGCCUGUCCAUUUUGAUUUUCCUCAACUUGGCAAAGUCACUUGCUCUGAGUCUAAGCCUCUCUUUGAAGCAGUUGUCGCAUCUGGAGCAAACAGGCCCCAGCAUCUGGGGUCAAAACAUAGGGAAUAGGUGUUUUAUUAAUUUGCAGGAAAAAACAGAAUCCUUAUCCAGAUCCCUUUUAUUAUGAUGACUUAGUUUUUCCCUUUCGUUUCUCACUUUCUUAUACUUUUCUUUCUACCUUUUCCCUUCUUCACUACCUUUCUUCUCUCAGAGUCCAGCUUUUCAUCCUCUCUUCUUUCCUGUUUUAGCCCUCUUCUCACUGUGAACCAUUUAAAGUCUAGAGAGCAGUUUGCCAGGGAGUGAGAACAUCUUAGGCUCUAAUGCAGGACAGGAAUCCCCCCAGUUCCCAGGCCUCCAUUACCCUGGGCAGUUUGAGUCAUCUGUAGGCUUUGCCCAAAUCUCUCAUAACAGGGAAAGAGAAAUGGUGCCAUGCACCAGCUGUGUGGUCCCAGGGAACUCAACCUCUGCAAGUCUCAGUUUCUUCAACUAACACAACUAUACUUUCUGGUUAAAGCUUGUUUUGUAAGUUAGAAAUAAUAUUUGAAAAGUACUUGGUCCCUUGGCAUUGCAAUGCAACUGCUGAGUGACGUACAUGAAUGAAGUUUUGAAGGAUUGUGGUCUGCUCAUUUCAAUUCCAGUAAGUAUAUUAAGAACAUUUUUAAGGGCCUGGCAUAGUCUAGGCACUAAAUAACGAGUUAUUAUUACCUUACUUGGCACCAUCCUCAGUAGUUUUCUCUUUGAGCCUGAUCCUUCCUUUCUGUUCUUUCUGGUAUGUCUGUUCUUCUCUAAGAUGGGCUUCAUCUUUCUCAGUUUCUUUGCAUGUUCCUGAACCACAGGUCCUUUCUUUUCAAGUCUAAAGACCCGGGCUUAGGCCUGGGCACGUGUCAGCCGAGCAUUGUCUUUCACAGUGAGGCGUUGGCAAUGCCAGGGCAGGAACGGGGGGCUCCUUGACUGCGGGAGUGGGGCCCUUCCCUCACUGCACCAUAUGGCCUCUGAGAACCACAUUUGAUUUUCAUUUAAUUGAAAUUCUUGUAGUAAAGCACAACAAUAGCAUUAGCAGUAACCAGCUCUUUUAAUUGUCAGAAGAAUCCUUGUCUGUUUUUGUGCAGAUGUUGUCUUGCGCCCAGGGCAGCUGUGAGUGUGUGAACGCCUCAUCAGCGAUUGCAGACACUGCCCAAAUGGUGAUCAGCACAGAAACCUUAUAAAAUUACCAACAGACUACCACUUCUGUCUGCCAGCACUUUCAAUGCCAGCCAGCCUUGGGGCUUGUUUUGUUUUGUUUGUUUGUUUGUUUGUUUGUUUUUCUAUUGGAGUAGGUUGUGAUUUAGAAUGAGUGUUUGUGGACCGUAAAUGAAAAUAUAGGCUCACACCCAAUUAACUAGUUUUGACGCAUCAGAAGGGACAUACAUGGUUUAUUUGCAAGAAUGAACAACAACCUAGAAAACUAGGGAUCUUUUUCUCCCUUCCUUUCCCUUAAUAACCUAGGACAAAUGUAAUCAAACUCUCUUUCCCCCUCUGUCUUCAUAUGCUAUAUGUUGUGAGGAAUACCAAAGAAGUGAGUUAUACUUCCUGUCCUUCAAGGGCAAAUAUAAGAAGGUUGAAUCACAAUGACUGUGGUUUGAAUCAUUUACCAGGACAUAAAAAUAUUAAGCUGAAAGUAUCUAUUUACAUGUGAUUCUAUCUCUUUUGACGUCCAAAAGAUGUGAGUGACAUAACAUCUCAGUUAGAUGCAAUUCCCCCAGUACCGAAGUGAACGUCUUUGUCUUAUUCUUGCUUGGGUUACAUAGUCAUCCAAUUUCCCCCAAUGCCUCCUGUAACUCUCCCUCAAUGACUUCUCUUAUUUGUACUUUACAGGAUCUCCAGAGACUCUGCUUCUGUGAGGCCACCUAAACUAUGAUCCCAUAAAAUUAAAAUGAUGAGAUGGAAAACCACAGAAAGCACCACACACCUGGCAGCUGAGCGGAACUUUGUGUUGCCAAAGGGGCCCAGGCCUGGGCUUCUGCCAUGUGAUUCCCUGCCCACCUUCUACCCAGAGGGGACUGCUAAUUUUUAAAAAUAGGUUUAAUACAGUCGUACACUCUAAUGUACUCUGUACUAUCUUCUUCCUGUGGGUGCACUUUUCAACUGUUACAAGAAGUUCAGUCCCUUGUGAAGCAUGAGUUUGUAAAGAUUUAUAUCAGUUUUGUUGUCUCUGUUAAUUUUAACCAAGUGGUGUAUCCUGAUAUAUGAUAUGAAUUUAGAGUUAGUAGAUCUCAUUUCUGGAGAAGGAAAUGGCAACCCACUCCAGUGUUCUUGCCUGGAGAAUCCCAGGGAUGGGGGAGCCUGGUGGGCUGCCGUCUAUGGGGUCGCACAGAGUCAGACACGACUGAAGUGACUUAGCAGCAGCAGCAGCAGCAGAUCUCGUUUCAACACUCUAGAGUUUGGAAAGUGUCCCAGAAGCCAGUAAGAAACCAAGCUUCUGCAGAACUGUGGGCAGGUGCUUUCACCUCUGUUUUCUCAUCUGUCACCAGGGCACUACUAUGGCCAUACAAGUCUGUAUACAAGUGUCAUACAAUUUCAAGGAGACUGUUCACAUCGUAACUGAACAACAAAGCGGUCUGUCUGUAACAGGAAGAUAGGAUGCAUCAUCUCAGUCACUCAGUAGUGUCUGACUCUUUGUGACCCCAUGGACUGUAUCCAACCAGGCUCCUCUGUCCAUGGGAUUCUUCAGGCAAGAAUACUGGACUGGGUUGCCAUCGGGCAUCUGUAUUAUGCAUAACCUGGAUCUGUCCAAUGGCAGAGAUGCUUGCUCAACCAUGAAGAUCAAAUUUUCUCCUCCUGGUGCCAGCCCUGCCACUCCUUAAAAGAUUGCAGCCCACCAGGCUCCUCUGUCCAUGGGAUUCUCCAGGCAAGAAUACUGGAAUGGUUGCCAUGCCCUCCUCCAGGAGGUAUUCCUGACCCAGGGAUCAGACCCACGUCUCAUAUCUCCUGCAUUGGCAGGGCAAGAACCUUGACUCUUUAUGGACAUGUCCUAAAUGCCUAGCACAAUGGCUCAUCUAUAACAGACUGUUGUUCAAAAUGGGUCAUAAAGCAGUGGAGACAACUCGCAACAUCAACAACACAUUUGGCCCAGGAACUGCUAAUGAAUGUACAAUGCAGUAAUGGUUUAAGAAGUUUUGCAAAGGAGAUGAGAGCCUUGAAGAUGAGAAGCAUAGUAGCUGACCAUAGGAAGCUGACAACGAUCAACUGAGAGGCUCAUUGAAGCUGAUCCUCUUAGAACUACAUGAGAAAUUGCCGAAGAACUCAACCUCAACCAUUCUAUGGUUAUUCAGCAUUUGAAGCAAAGUGGAAAGGUGAAAAAGCUCGAUAAGUGGGUGCAUCAUGAGCUGACAAAAAUUUUAAAAAUCAUCAUUUUGAAGUGUCAUUUUCUCUUAUUCUAUGCAAUAGCAACAAACCAUUUCUUGAUUGUUUUAUGACAUACAAUGAAAAGUGGAUUUUAUAUUCAACCACCAACAACCAGCUCAGUGGUUAGACAGAGAAGAAGCCUCAAAGCACUUCCCAAAACCAAACUUGCAUCAAAAAAUUCUUCAAGGAUCUCAAUAACUUUUUGCAAGGAAAAUGCUUCCACAACCGGCAGGAGGCAGAAAAUGUUUAGAGUUUGUCGAAUCCCGAAGUACAGAAUUUUACACUACAAGAAUAAACCAACCCAUUUCUCAUGGGCAAAAAAAUGUGUUGAUUAUAAUGGUUCCUAUUUUGAUUAAUAAAGACGUGUUUGAGCCUAGUUAUAAUGAUUUAAAACUCACGUUCUGAAAUCACAAUUACAUUUGCACCAACCUAAUAGAAUCUGAUGUAUCUAUUUCAGAUGGUGUUACUGAAUUAUGUCCUGCUGAUUUUGGAAUCUUGAUCAUUGAUGUGGCUAAUAUAUCAAUAAAAGUGGGGAAAAUGUUAGUCACUCAGUUGUGUCUGACUCUGUGACCCCAUGGACUGUAGCCCACCAGGCUUCUCUGUCUGUGGAAGUCUCCAGGCAAGAAUACUGGAGUGGACUGACAUUCCCUCCUCCAGAGGAUCGUCCCCACCCAGGGACUGAACCUGGGUUAUAACUAAUUAAAUGUGGCUAAUUAUAUCAUUAAUUAAUGUGGCUAAAAUAUAUCAUUAAAUGGUAUAAUUUUCUAUAAUAUACAGUAAUGGUGCUUACUAUAUGACUUUUGUGUUUAUAUCCAUUUAUAAUAUAUCAAGGCAUAACUCCAGGUUCUUUGAAGGACACUGCUUAAUAAAGAGCAGUGAAAACUGAGGAGUUGAUGGAAAUUCUGAC